GAGGAAGUAGUUUAUGGAGAAUGUAGCUUUGUCAAGGCUGAGGAAUUAGGUUAAUCUUUCUUU
RNAcentral lists this transfer RNA (63 nucleotides) under Panopea globosa. Its description in RNAcentral is "tRNA-Asp". The record is from RNAcentral. Lineage: Eukaryota; Metazoa; Mollusca; Bivalvia; Adapedonta; Hiatellidae.